Molecule: ribosomal RNA, 253 nt
Filed under: uncultured bacterium
Lineage: Bacteria
Description: partial 16S ribosomal RNA
Rfam family: Bacterial small subunit ribosomal RNA
Source: RNAcentral
UACGGAGGGUGCGAGCGUUGUCCGGAAUCACUGGGCGUAAAGGGCGCGUAGGCGGCUUUUUAAGGGUGCGGUGAAAGCCCGGGGCUUAACCCCGGGUCGGCCGUGCCGACUGAAAAGCUGGAGCACUGUAGAGGCAGGUGGAAUUCCGGGUGCAGCGGUGGAAUGCGUAGAGAUCCGGAAGAACACCAGUGGCGAAGGCGGCCUGCUGGGCAGUUGCUGACGCUGAGGCGCGACAGCGUGGGGAGCAAACAGG